RNAcentral lists this ribosomal RNA (347 nucleotides) under uncultured bacterium. Its description in RNAcentral is "partial 16S ribosomal RNA". It matches the Rfam family "Bacterial small subunit ribosomal RNA", at positions 338 to 682 of the family's 1533-position model. The record is from RNAcentral.
CCUACGGGAGGCGGCAGUGAGUAAUAUUGGUCAAUGGGCGCGAGCCGGAACCAGCCAAGUAGCGUGAAGAAUGACUGCCCUACGGGUUGUAAACUUCUUUUAUAAAGGAAUAAAGUGAGGCACGUGUGCGUUUUUGUAUGUACUUUAUGAAUAAGGAUCGGCUAACUCCGUGCCAGCAGCCGCGGUAAUACGGGGGAUCCGAGCGUUAUCCGGAUUUAUUGGGUUUAAAGGGGGCGUAGAUGGGUUGUUAAGUCAGUUGGUAAAGUUUGCGGCUCAACCGUAAAAUUGCAAUUGAUACGGGCAGCCUUGAGUACAGUUGAGGUAGGCGGAAUUCGUGGUGUAGCGGU